UAUUAUUUAAGAAAAUUUGAAAAUAAGUAAAAAAAAAUCUCUCUCUCCGAUACAUAGCUUCCAACUAUAAGAUGGAAAAGAAAUAAAUAAAGCUUCCAACGGUAAGAUGGAAAAAAAUAAAAUAAAAGGACACUACCUCUCUAACCUAUGAGCACCUUCAAUCUCUCUUAAGCUCUCUCUCACAGACCCCCCCUCAGGCUGAAAAGAAAAAAGAAACAAAGCAGAAGAAAUACUUUCUUCCUCUCCGCCGCACAUCACUUCCACCCACACAGCACAUCCACCACACCCCCUCUUCCUCUUCACACUAAAACCACCUCCAUCUUCCUCUCUAAAUCCAGCCGAAAAAUCAUUUCUUUCGCCUCCUAAAAACAAUCACCGCCGUUCACCACCGAAACAACCUCCACCAUGCACCUCCGUCCGGCGAACCAUCAUCCUCACUCCCUUUCCUCAACAACUCCCUCGCCGCUACAACCGCCGGCAAACCCAACCUACCACCAUCCCCCAUCGUCUUCACCACACUAACACCUCAUUCUCGCUUCCGUCAAAACAACCAACCGCGCCUCCGGCGGUUCUCCACCACUUCGUCAUCUGGAUUCAACACCUCCAACCUUCGUCUCUGUUGAAUUUCCAUCUGAUUUAGAAGGCUCGUUCAGCCAUCACUGUAUGUUGCGAUAGUGGCGGUGACGACGUUUCUUUUGUGACUUAAAAACUCUGAAAAAAGACCAGGUUUUGUAAAGGUAAGACAAUAACGACCACAACCUCGACUCAACCCGUGUUUCCGCAAAAACGGGAAUUUGCGCAACUUCGCCUCGUUUCUUUCCGUCGGGCUUCCAUAACCGACGAAACCAAACAACAAACCUUCCAGCUCUGCAACGACAACAAAUGACAGCAGUGACACAACUUCGGUAAAUAUCUCGAUUUCGUAUGCUUAAUGUGUUAUGAUUUUGAGAAUAAUUUUGUUAUUACAGUAAACUUUUAUCACUGGUUUGUGUUGAUUUCUCUUGUAUUACAACUGGUUGCAACUAUUAUAGUAAUAUGGAUAUUCUAAAAUUGAUUCUGUUUGGUAGUCGGUUUGAAUACGACUUUGGCCUAAUUAUUCUCUACUGUAUUACCAAAGUGUUGCUGUAACUAACUCUAGAAGGUUUUUGCUGUUAUGAUAAUUUGUGAGCGUUAUACAUAUUGAAUUGCAACUUAUAUUUGGCACAUCCAGUUGGUUUUCUGUUUGGCAAAGUGUUAUAUUGUUCUUAUGGGCAAGGCUUUUGUUUAUUGUUAUAUCUAACAGGUUUGUUGAUGUUAUUCUCGUUACGUCCUGUUAAUCGUAUCAUGUUGAUUCUGUGGGCAUAUUGAACUUCAUGAUGUGUUAUGUUGGGGUAAUUUAGUAUUGAUUACAAUGGAUUGGUUACAUGUUUACUGCUAUUAUUUGCUUUCUGCGGAAUUAAAAUGGUUUGGCAUCGCGUAGAACAGUUUAUGUCAUGUUUUCCGGGAUGUUAUGCUGUUUGUUAUAGCCAUAGUUUUGGUUUUGAUUCGGUUGCAAUAAUCUAUGUUGAUGGGUAUGUUGUAAUAUUCUUUUCCGGGGUAUUUUCGAUGUGAUCGUGUUGUUGUUGUUGUUGUGUGCUUAAGUUGUCGUGUUUAAAAUCGAAUAUCAUUCGCAGCUUCGACGUGUAAAUGUUUCGAUUAUAUUUCUAUUUCAAUUGCAUAUUUACUUCCUUUCCGAUUGGGUUAUACCGUUUUGGUAUUCGAUAUUAUAAUGUUGAAAAUACUGUUAUAAACAGGAACUUGUAUCAUAUUCUGGUU
RNAcentral lists this long non-coding RNA (1794 nucleotides) under Lathyrus oleraceus (garden pea). RNAcentral describes it as "Pisum sativum (pea) long non-coding RNA (PSAT_LNC027358)". Lineage: Eukaryota; Viridiplantae; Streptophyta; Magnoliopsida; Fabales; Fabaceae. The record is from RNAcentral.